RNAcentral lists this ribosomal RNA (387 nucleotides) under uncultured bacterium. Its description in RNAcentral is "bacterial SSU rRNA". It matches the Rfam family "Bacterial small subunit ribosomal RNA", at positions 419 to 793 of the family's 1533-position model. The record is from RNAcentral.
CGGGUUGUAAAGCACUUUCAGUAGGGAGGAAGGUAGUGUAGUUAACACCUGCACUAUUUGACGUUACCUACAGAAGAAGCACCGGCUAACUCCGUGCCAGCAGCCGCGGUAAUACGGAGGGUGCGAGCGUUAAUCGGAAUUACUGGGCGUAAAGACGCAUGCAGGCGGCCUGUUAAGUCAGAUGUGAAAGACCCGGGGCGUUAACCUCGGAAUUGCAUUUGAAACUAGGCAGGCUAGAGUCUUGUAGAGGGGGGUAGGAAUUUCAGGUGUAGCGGUGAAAUGCGUAGAGAUCUGAAGGAAUACCAGUGGCGAAGGCGGCCCCCUGGACAAAGACUGACGCUCAGAUGCGAAAGCGUGGGGAGCAAACAGGAUUAGAUACCCUUGGAG